This 519-nucleotide ribosomal RNA is filed under the name Enterobacter hormaechei subsp. xiangfangensis. RNAcentral describes it as "partial 23S ribosomal RNA". It matches the Rfam family "Bacterial large subunit ribosomal RNA", at positions 1 to 1888 of the family's 2925-position model. The record is from RNAcentral. Lineage: Bacteria; Pseudomonadati; Pseudomonadota; Gammaproteobacteria; Enterobacterales; Enterobacteriaceae.
CUAAGCGUACACGGUGGAUGCCCUGGCAGUCAGAGGCGAUGAAGGACGUGCUAAUCUGCGAAAAGCGCCGGCGAGGUGAUAUGAACCCUUGACCCGGCGAUGUCCGAAUGGGGAAACCCAGUGUGUUCCGACACACUAUCGUUAACUGAAUACAUAGGUUAACGAGGCGAACCGGGGGAACUGAAACAUCUAAGUACCCCGAGGAAAAGAAAUCAACCGAGAUUCCCCCAGUAGCGGCGAGCGAACGGGGAGCAGAUCGUACCCCAAACCGACACAGGUGGUCAGGUAGAGAAUACCAAGGCGCUUGAGAGAACUCGGGUGAAGGAACUAGGCAAAAUGGUGCCGUAACUUCGGGAGAAGGCACGCUGAUAUGUAGGUGAAGCCCCUGCGGGCGGAGCUGAAAUCAGUCGAAGAUACCAGCUGGCUGCAACUGUUUAUUAAAAACACAGCACUGUGCAAACACGAAAGUGGACGUAUACGGUGUGACGCCUGCCCGGUGCCGGAAGGUUAAUUGAUGGG